CCCUUAGACGUCCUGGGCCGCACGCGCGCUACAAUGACUCAUGCAACAAGUUCUUCCAAACUCGAAAGAGGUCAGGAAAUCUUUAUAAUGUGAGUCGUACUAGUAGGGAUUGAUCUUUGCAAUUCUGGAUCAUGAACGAGGAAUUCCUAGUAAGCAUAAGUCAUCAACUUGUGCUGAUUACGUCCCUGCCCUUUGUACACACCGCCCGUCGCUCCUACCGAUUGGAUGGUUUAGUGAGGACUCCUGAUUGGCGCCGCCGCCCCGGCAACGGAGCAGCAGACUGCCGAAAAGUUGUUCAAACUUGAUCAUUUAGAGGAAGUAAAAGUCGUAACA
RNAcentral lists this ribosomal RNA (333 nucleotides) under uncultured eukaryote. RNAcentral describes it as "partial 18S ribosomal RNA". It matches the Rfam family "Eukaryotic small subunit ribosomal RNA", at positions 1470 to 1796 of the family's 1831-position model. The record is from RNAcentral.